GACGAACGCUGGCGGCGUGCUUAACACAUGCAAGUCGAACGGAAAGGCCCUGCUUGUGUGGGGUGCUCGAGUGGCGAACGGGUGAGUAACACGUGAGUAACCUGCCCUUGACUUUGGGAUAACUUUAGGAAACUGGGGCUAAUACCGGAUAGGAGCUCCUGCUGCAUGGUGGGGGUUGGAAAGUUUCGGCGGUUGGGGAUGGACUCGCGGCUUAUCAGCUUGUUGGUGGGGUAGUGGCUUACCAAGGCUUUGACGGGUAGCCGGCCUGAGAGGGUGACCGGCCACAUUGGGACUGAGAUACGGCCCAGACUCCUACGGGAGGCAGCAGUGGGGAAUAUUGCACAAUGGGCGGAAGCCUGAUGCAGCAACGCCGCGUGCGGGAUGACGGCCUUCGGGUUGUAAACCGCUUUCGCCUGUGACGAAGCGUGAGUGACGGUAAUGGGUAAAGAAGCACCGGCUAACUACGUG
This 468-nucleotide ribosomal RNA is filed under the name uncultured bacterium. RNAcentral's name for it is "partial 16S ribosomal RNA". It matches the Rfam family "Bacterial small subunit ribosomal RNA", at positions 28 to 507 of the family's 1533-position model. The record is from RNAcentral.